GACGAACCGUGCGAACGUUAUUCGGAAUCAUUGGGCUUAAAGGGCGCGUAGGCGGCGAUAUAAGUUGGAAGUGAAAUCCCAUCGGCUCAACCGUGGAAUAGCUCCCAGUACUGUAUCGCUCGAGGGGGAUAGGGGUCUGCGGAACUACCGGUGGAGCGGUGAAAUGUGUUGAUAUCGGUGGGAACGCCAGUGGCGAAAGCGGCAGACUUGACCCUUCCUGACGCUGAGUGCGCGAAAGCUAGGGGAGCAAAAGGG
Molecule: ribosomal RNA, 255 nt
Filed under: uncultured bacterium
Lineage: Bacteria
Description: partial 16S ribosomal RNA
Rfam family: Bacterial small subunit ribosomal RNA
Source: RNAcentral